This is a long non-coding RNA of Macaca mulatta (Rhesus monkey), 705 nucleotides long. RefSeq lists it as uncharacterized. NCBI's taxonomy places the organism in Eukaryota, Metazoa, Chordata, Mammalia, Primates, Cercopithecidae. The record is from RefSeq and is a predicted model, not a curated record.
AAAGACAAAUUACCUUAUUCCUUUUUUUUUUUCUCUCUCCCUUUUCCUGAGAAAUUUAGUUAAAAAGUCACUAGGUAGGGUUGAGCAACAUAAGAGUCCAAACAGCAUAGACAGGGUGUCAAAGCCCAACCAGGAUAGGGAGGGGUAAGGGAGUGGCGGGGAGGAUAAUAGCCCAGCAAAGAGGGUCGAAGCUCAGGAGAGUAAAAAGGUCCUCAGGACCUGAGCAUGGUAGGAAGUCUCCUGUGAAGGGCAACUGAGUACAGGGUGUUGAAGCCAAGACGUGAUGAAGAGAGUGUUGAACACAGGAACACUGAUUAAAAAGGGUUGGGAAACUAGUUUGCAUGGCCAAACCUAGCCCACCAUCUGUUUUGUUUCCUGCUGUUCCCAGCCUGCACUAUGGACUUCAUCAGAUUUCAGCAUUAGAGAGAAUAUGGAAGGACAUCAACCUAACUUCAUCCAGUGAGGAUUUCCACACACCAUACACUCUCUGAGAGUUCUCCUGGCUUUGUGUGCACACCACCAGUGACAGGGAGCUCGCUAUGUCAUGAGGCAGCCUGCUCCCUUGUGGCUAUCACUGACCCAACUAUUAAGCCUUCUUAUACAGACAGUCCCUGACUUGCCAUUAGACUUACGACUUUUUUUUUUUUUUUUUUUUUGAGACAGAGUCUCGCUUUGUGGCCCAGGCUGGAGUGCAGUGGCCGGAUC